UGACACGGAAAACACAUCAUCCUUCUUUUUCCUUUUGUUUGGUAGGAAUUCCAUUACUUUCAGAAAUUGAAGGUUUUUCUUCCAUAUUUUCUUUAGCUUAAUAGUAUCGAACAAGACAUAAAUCUCAUACAAUACUUCAUCUAUUUCUCCUCUUUUAUCAGCCUUGUUGCUAGGUGUGAGACUACUCUUUUGUUGAAGAUCUUGUAGUUGAACAUCUACGUCUAAACGAAUUAUUGAAAUUCAAACUUCAUCCAAAACGAGACAAUCUUCAUCUUACAUUAUUGCUCUUUUCCCACAUAUCUUU
RNAcentral lists this long non-coding RNA (304 nucleotides) under Lathyrus oleraceus (garden pea). Its description in RNAcentral is "Pisum sativum (pea) long non-coding RNA (PSAT_LNC003743)". Lineage: Eukaryota; Viridiplantae; Streptophyta; Magnoliopsida; Fabales; Fabaceae. The record is from RNAcentral.